GCUACGGGUGGCUGCAGUAGGGAAUUUUCGGCAAUGGGGGGAACCCUGACCGAGCAACGCCGCGUGAACGAAGAAGUUAUUCGUAAUGUAAAGUUCUUUUAACAGGGAAGAAAGAGAAAUUUGACGGUACCUGUCGAAUAAGCCACGGCUAACUACGUGCCAGCAGCCGCGGUAAUACGUAGGUGGCAAGCGUUGUCCGGAUUUACUGGGUGUAAAGGGCGUGUAGCCGGGCUGACAAGUCAGAUGUGAAAUCCGGGGGCUCAACCCCCGAACUGCAUUUGAAACUGUUGGUCUUGAGUAUCGGAGAGGCAGGCGGAAUUCCUAGUGUAGCGGUGAAAUGCGUAGAUAUUAGGAGGAACACCAGUGGCGAAGGCGGCCUGCUGGACGACAACUGACGGUGAGGCGCGAAAGCGUGGGGAGCAAACAGGAUUAGAUACCCCUGUAGUC
This 447-nucleotide ribosomal RNA is filed under the name uncultured bacterium. RNAcentral describes it as "partial 16S ribosomal RNA". It matches the Rfam family "Bacterial small subunit ribosomal RNA", at positions 338 to 795 of the family's 1533-position model. The record is from RNAcentral.